CCAAGUGAACCAAUUCACCAGUUACCUGCUGUCCAGUUGGUCAAUGUGGGCAAAACCAUAUGCCUUCGUUUGUUGUUGACGGACACAUGCCCGUUGGGUUUGGGCUGGCACAUUGACUAACAAGUUGAACGGACAGCGCCCUGUGGGCACAAGAGUUUUGGGGUGUUACCGAUGUUGGUGGCCCAAUGGGUGAGCCGACGAUUGCUGUCGUCGGCGGCUCACUGCGCCAACAGAGGUAGUACGCCCGCAGGGCACCCUAACGGCUGUGCUGGCGUCUGUGCGUCGUUUGAGCGGUUGUUGCGCCUUGCGCUGAUAUGCUGACAUGGAGUGUGUAGGCUUCUAUUUCAUGUCGUACGUACCGUACCUGGCGGCAUGUCGGCGUUUGUGUGCUACGUCCGUGGCCGUGAUGAGACGACGUGUUAGGACCCAUGCCUGGCAUUGGCGCGUGGUUUAAGACUUGAUGAGUGCCCGGAGGCACCGCCAGCGUUUUUCUCAUUUUUAUUUAUUUUUUCAAUGCAAUUUGAUUGCACGAAAUAUUCUAGCCUUAUCGGUGGAUCACUCGGCUCGUGGAUCGAUGAAGAACGCAGCCAACUGCGAUAAUUAGUGUGAACUGCAGAAACCUUGAACACAGAACUUUCGAAUGCACAUUGCGCCAUUGGAGUAACAUCCAUUGGCACGCCUGGUUCAGGGUCGUAACCAAAAAAUGCACUGCAUGUGCGUGUUUUUAUUUGCUAAGAUCACGACGCUUCGUCGUGUUCUUGCAUAAAAGUGGAAUGCUACGCUGUGUGGCGGUUGGGUGUGCUGGCGCGAAAAUAUGCUUUCUUUCGCGCUUUACAGACCGUAAUUUAGGCACGCCCUUCGGUUCACAUGCGAUAGCUGAAUGCCUGGCAAAUAGGCAUUUGCAAUUGA
This 909-nucleotide small RNA is filed under the name Globodera hypolysi. Its description in RNAcentral is "eukaryotic LSU rRNA". The stretch from base 540 to 693 matches the Rfam family "5.8S ribosomal RNA". The record is from RNAcentral. Lineage: Eukaryota; Metazoa; Nematoda; Chromadorea; Rhabditida; Heteroderidae.